Molecule: unclassified non-coding RNA, 334 nt
Filed under: soil metagenome
Description: partial contains 5.8S ribosomal RNA, internal transcribed spacer 2, and large subunit ribosomal RNA
Rfam family: 5.8S ribosomal RNA (bases 1-120)
Source: RNAcentral
GAUGAAGAACGUAGCGAAAUGCGAUAAGUAAUGUGAAUUGCAGAAUUCAGUGAAUCAUCGAAUCUUUGAACGCACAUUGCGCCCCCCAGUAUUCUGGCGGGCAUGCCUGUUCGAGCGUCAUUUCAACCAUCAAGUCCUGCUUGUGUUGGGGUCCUGCGGCUGCCCGCAGGCCCUGAAAACCAGUGGCGGGCUCGCUAGUCACACCGAGCGCAGUAGCACAUCUCGCUCAGGGCGUGCGGCGGGCUCCAGCCGUUAAAGCACCCACCUUUCGCAAGGUUGACCUCGGAUCAGGUAGGAAUACCCGCUGAACUUAAGCAUAUCAAUAAGCGGAGGA